Molecule: transfer RNA, 71 nt
Filed under: Mucilaginibacter mali
Lineage: Bacteria; Pseudomonadati; Bacteroidota; Sphingobacteriia; Sphingobacteriales; Sphingobacteriaceae
Rfam family: tRNA
About the family: Transfer RNA (tRNA) molecules are approximately 80 nucleotides in length. Their secondary structure includes four short double-helical elements and three loops (D, anti-codon, and T loops). Further hydrogen bonds mediate the characteristic L-shaped molecular structure. tRNAs have two regions of fundamental functional importance: the anti-codon, which is responsible for specific mRNA codon recognition, and the 3' end, to which the tRNAs corresponding amino acid is attached (by aminoacyl-tRNA synthetases). tRNAs cope with the degeneracy of the genetic code in two manners: having more than one tRNA (with a specific anti-codon) for a particular amino acid; and 'wobble' base-pairing, i.e. permitting non-standard base-pairing at the 3rd anti-codon position.
Source: Rfam by way of RNAcentral
UCCCACGUGGUGUAACGGUAGCACAUCAGACUCUGACUCUGCUUGUCGUGGUUCGAAUCCAUGCGUGGGAA